GAUGAACGCUGGCGGCGUGCUUAACACAUGCAAGUCGAGCGAUGAAGUUUCCUUCGGGAAACGGAUUAGCGGCGGACGGGUGAGUAACACGUGGGUAACUUGCCUCAUAGAGUGGAAUAGCCUUCCGAAAGGAAGAUUAAUACCGCAUAAUGUUGAAAGAUGGCAUCAUCAUUCAACCAAAGGAGCAAUCCGCCAUGAGAUGGACCCGCGGCGCAUUAGCUAGUUGGUGGGGUAACGGCCUACCAAGGCGACGAUGCGUAGCCGACCUGAGAGGGUGAUCGGCCACAUUGGGACUGAGACACGGCCCAGACUCCUACGGGAGGCAGCAGUGGGGAAUAUUGCACAAUGGGGGAAACCCUGAUGCAGCAACGCCGCGUGAGUGAUGAAGGUUUUCGGAUCGUAAAGCUCUGUCUUUGGGGAAGAUAAUGACGGUACCCAAGGAGGAAGCCACGGCUAACUACGUGCCAGCCGCCGCCGUAA
This 480-nucleotide ribosomal RNA is filed under the name uncultured bacterium. RNAcentral's name for it is "partial 16S ribosomal RNA". It matches the Rfam family "Bacterial small subunit ribosomal RNA", at positions 28 to 523 of the family's 1533-position model. The record is from RNAcentral.